GGUUUGGCUAGUAGGCAUGGAAAACAUAGGCUCUCAACAUACUAUAGGUACAGGAACAUUUUGGUUGCUGGCUGGCAACGUCCAUUUGCAGAGUUGGGUUGCGGUAGGGUCACCCUGCGUCAGUAAUAUAUGCAAACUUAAAAAAAAUGAAAUAACACAACGUAACAUUAGUUCAGGUAUAUCAAAUAUAUCUGAGGUGUGCCCACUAGGUAAGACCUGUU
Pelobates cultripes (western spadefoot toad) is the source of this 221-nucleotide non-coding RNA. The record is from the annotation of a GenBank genome assembly. NCBI's taxonomy places the organism in Eukaryota, Metazoa, Chordata, Amphibia, Anura, Pelobatidae.